Dermochelys coriacea (leatherback sea turtle) is the source of this 536-nucleotide long non-coding RNA. RefSeq lists it as uncharacterized. The transcript has 2 exons. NCBI's taxonomy places the organism in Eukaryota, Metazoa, Chordata, Testudines, Dermochelyidae. The record is from RefSeq and is a predicted model, not a curated record.
ACGUUCCAAGCGUGUCCUUCCCACCUGCAGAAGUUGGGCUAAUAAAGGUUAUGACCCCUGACCUCCCCCGCCUUGUGGCUCUCAGAGUGCAUGAGAAAAACGUGCAUGAAAAAAAAUUCUUAUUAAACAGAAUCUAUUUGUGCAUUGUCUAAUUAGUGCCAGAAUGGUGUUUGUUAGGGUUAUGGCUGCGUUUUCAGCUGCAGCAGCCUAAGUGAGGAAAGAAGAUAAAGUUUUGCUCAACUACUACAUGGUCAAACUGUUGUGAUUUUUUUAUAAUCCGAAAAAAGAGACAGUACGUGACCUGAAAUGUUUAGAAAACACAGGGAGAAGGUGAACUGGAAUCUGAGGUAACAGUGCAACCUCCUGUAGCAUAGUUAAGAGGGUGCUAUGAAAAGACACAAUGUGAAUGGAAAUAGGCUUAAGAUGUGUUUUCAGUAAUUUUCCUGCUGGUUAUUGCAUAUUUUUCAAAGUAGGUAUGUUAACUCUGAGCUAUGUAGCUGGGUUUCUUUCAGAUAGUAAAUAUAUCUAUGAAUUGU